AGUAAGCAUGCUGCCCCUUCUUCAAGCAAAUCCAUGCGAUUUCCUCUUCGACCUGGCAAGGGUUUCCAUCUCUCCUGAAGGUACAUCGAGGGGUGUUAACAGGGCUUUUAUGGAGCAGCUAGUGAAAUUAUAUAGAGAGUCCCAUCUUGGAAGACGCCUUCCUGCUUACGAUGGAAGGAAGAGUCUUUAUUCUGCUGGACCAUUACCUUUUUCUGAUAAGGAUUUCUCAAUUACCUUGAUUCCUUGAUUGACGAGGAUGAUGGCACUGGAGCUGCUAGGAGAGAGAGGGUGUUCAAUGUUUCUACCAAAUAUGCUGCUCGAGUGGAUCUCCACCACUUGGGAUGUUUUUGCAGGGAAAACAGGCAGAUGCACCUUAGGAAGCUCUUCAGGUUCUCAACAUUGUUCUGCGUGAGCUUCCGACUUCUAGGUAUAUGUCUUUGUUAGUUAUUGGCUUGAUUUAAGAAACAUCCUGUUUUAGGAAAGAUCAAAAUGAUUUCCUAAUCAGUUUUGCACCUCCUCAAGUAUUUUAGGAAUCUGUUUUCUAAGUUACAUUAGGAAAUAGUUCUCUAUUUAGGACUUCUAUUUCUAGGCAAUUCUAGAUUAUUCCUAGGCCUAUAAAUAAGAGUG
This is a long non-coding RNA of Papaver somniferum (opium poppy), 627 nucleotides long. RefSeq lists it as uncharacterized. The record is from RefSeq and is a predicted model, not a curated record. The transcript has 3 exons. NCBI's taxonomy places the organism in Eukaryota, Viridiplantae, Streptophyta, Magnoliopsida, Ranunculales, Papaveraceae.